RNAcentral lists this ribosomal RNA (468 nucleotides) under uncultured bacterium. RNAcentral describes it as "partial 16S ribosomal RNA". It matches the Rfam family "Bacterial small subunit ribosomal RNA", at positions 28 to 507 of the family's 1533-position model. The record is from RNAcentral.
GACGAACGCUGGCGGCGUGCUUAACACAUGCAAGUCGAACGGAAAGGCCCUGCUUUUGUCGGGUUCUCGCGUGGCGAACGGGUGAGUAACCCGUGAGUAUCCUUCCCUGUACUUUGGGAUAUCUUCAGGAAACUGGGGCUAAUACCGGAUAGGAGCUCCUGCUGCUGGGUGGGGUUCGGAACUUUUAGGCUGUGGUGGAUCGACGCGCGGUUAAUCAGCUUGUUGGUGGGGGAGUGGCUUACCAAGGCUUCGACGGGUAGCCGGCAUGAGAGGGUUGACGGGCUCAAUGGGACUGCGAUACGGAGCAGAGUCGUACGGGAGGCAGCAGUGGGAAAUAUUACACAAUGGGGGGAAGCGUGAUGAAGCAACCUUGCGAGCGUGAUGACGGCCUUCGGGUUGUAAACCGCUGUAGCCUGUGACGAAGCGGUAGUGACGGUAAUGAGUAAAGAAGCACCGGCUAACUACGUG